Molecule: ribosomal RNA, 472 nt
Filed under: uncultured bacterium
Lineage: Bacteria
Description: bacterial SSU rRNA
Rfam family: Bacterial small subunit ribosomal RNA
Source: RNAcentral
CUCGUGUCGUGAGAUGUUGGGUUAAGUCCCGCAACGAGCGCAACCCUUAUUCUUAGUAGCCAGCAGGUAAAGCUGGGCACUCUGGGAAGACUGCCAGGGAUAACCUGGAGGAAGGUGGGGAUGACGUCAAAUCAUCAUGCCCCUUAUGAUUUGGGCUACACACGUGCUACAAUGGCGUAAACAAAGGGAGGCAAAGGAGUAAUCUGGAGCAAACCCCAAAAAUAACGUCUCAGUUCGGACUGUGGUCUGCAACCCAACCACACGAAGCUGGAAUCGCUAGUAAUCGCGAAUCAGAAUGUCGCGGUGAAUACGUUCCCGGGUCUUGUACACACCGCCCGUCACACCAUGGGAGUCAGCAACGCCCGAAGUCAGUGACCUAACCUUAUAGGGAGGAGCUGCCGAAGGCGGGGCCGGUAACUGGGGUGAAGUCGUAACAAGGUAGCCGUAUCGGAAGGUGCGGUUGGAUCACCUC